This 2541-nucleotide long non-coding RNA is filed under the name Homo sapiens (human). Its description in RNAcentral is "HSALNT0207296". The record is from RNAcentral. Lineage: Eukaryota; Metazoa; Chordata; Mammalia; Primates; Hominidae.
CGACCUGUAUCUACGGGAAACGACGUAAUUAAGUGGAGCCUGGGGCGUUUGUGUGGCUUCUUUUGCCUCUAGUCUCACAGACCCCACUCCUGCCCAGAGUCACGCAGGUCAGCACCCUGUUCCUCUUCUUCCGUGAGGCGGUUUCAUGCAUCUUCAGCACAGGUUGGCUCUCUGCCUCCUGUGCAGGCAGGAGAAAGGGAUGUGGAAACACAGAGUGCCACUCCCUCCCCACUGGGAGGCCCCAGAAGACACAGCCAGGACUCUGAACCUCUGUUUGUCAUCUGCACGCUGAACCGCUCAGAGCGUUAUCCCAGCAACGGCUUUCAAUGACAAAUGGGAAGAAUGAACGUCACAAAACAGGGGUCAUCUGGGAAAGAAAGGAUCGCCACAAACGGAAGAAAACAACAAGCAGCCAACUGCUAACUCAGCCACAGUGACCGUCCCAAGUCACUUCCCGAGCCUGUGGUCACUCCGCCAUCCCGACCAUGCAGUCCGUGAUGCAGGCGUCAUCAUCUGCUUUCUGCAGAAGAGGAACCCGAGGCCGGAGGUUCUGGGCAGGGUGCUCAGGAUGCUGUGGCCAGCGGUAAGGGGCCAGGGUCUGGAGCUCCACCCACCUGGUGAUUCUGACACCUGCUGUGGAGGGGCCUGAGGGCAGGGGCAGACUCCAUGCACUUCACAGAUUUCAUCAGGAGUGUGAAGAGUUAACCUGGAAAUGAGUUUCAAAUGAACUCCCUGUUGUUUUUCCCAAGUGGUUUUACUAAUGCAUUUAAGAGAAGGCGGAAAGGGCAGGCUCCCAUCCCGAUAAAAGAUAAAUGGCUUUAUCCCAUUUCCUGGCCUAUAAGUGGCAGUGUGCCAAGAAGACCAAACUGCUGACAGCGUCCUGCAGCCACGAAGUUGAACAAACCGCAGCGUUGCUGCAGCCGCGCAGGAAUCGGGGAAAGAGAUUCACAUUAAGGACAACCACGAAUCCAGGAAUAAAGAGCAAACACCCCUUUGAAGAGGGAGACCCAGUGGCCAUUUAUGGAACCAAUAUAAAACUGAUCAGAAAUUUCAAACGAGUGCAAAAACAUCAGAAACGGUGCAAUGACUGCAACAACGUUGGUGCACGGCCGGCCGCGUUUCACCCGCAUCCCCAGCAACGGCUGCCCACCACCAUCAAUCCAAGGCAAACCCCAGACAGCACAGAACUGUUAACACGUGCAGAGUUCAGUAAACAUUCCUAAAAGAAAUGUAACAACUGCAUACGGAGAAAUUGAAAAUAGAGAUAAUGAAAAGGAAAAGGUCAUGUUACAGAAGCUCUCCCUUCUUAACCAUGUCGUCAAAUUUAACACCACCAGUAACGGGAUAAACCGGUCUCGUAUGCUUCCUGAUAGGACGCUCUGGGAAGGACACAUCAGCAUUUCUGGGCCAAAAAUGCAUCUCCUGGAUUUAGCAAUAAACAUUAGACAAACCCCAAUUUAGGAAUGUUCUACAACAUAACUGGCCUGCCCUCUCCAAAGUGGCGGUGUCAUGAAACAAAGAAAUACUAAGGGGCUGCUCCAGAGUAAAGAAAGAUAAAACACAGGACAACUGAAUGCAGCUCCUGCUCCAAAUUCUCAUGCUCCUGAAUUUUCUUUUGCUUUAAAGGACAUUUAGGGGGACAACUCAUAGACUCUGGAUCUACAUACAAAACAGCAGUGAUUAGAGAAGAGUGUGUUGAAGUUAAUUACCUAUUAGGUUGCUGCAAAGGUAAUUGUGGGUUUUGCCAUUCAAAGUAAUGGCAAAAAACAAACAAUUUGGAGAAUUAUACUCUAGUUUUAUAAGCAAACAAAUAUAUUUGUUAAGAAGUAAACACUGGCCAGGUGCGGUGGCUCACACCUGUAAUCCCAGCACUUUGGGAGGCCGAGGCAGGUAGAUCACCAGGUCAGGAGAUUGAGACCAUCCUGGCUAACACGGUGAAACCCCAUCUCUAUUAAAAAUACAAAAAAAUUAGCCAGGCGUGGUGGCGGGCGCCUGUAGUCCCAGCUACUCGGGAGGCUGAGGCAGGAGAAUGGCGUCAACCCAGGAGGCGGAGCUUGCAGUGAGCCGAGAUCUUGCCACUGUACUCCAGCCUGGGUGACAGAGCAAGACUCCGUCUCAAAAAAAAAAAAAAAAAAAAAAAAGAAGCAAACACUGAAGUUCAUGGAGAUAAAAGGGUAGCCUGUCUGUCACGUACUCUCUGACACCUAGAAAAUAAUAAUGUAUAUUUGUGUAAUAUGCACACAUGAGAGAAGAAAGCAAACAUGGUGAAACAUAAUAUUGAGGAAUCUGAGUGUCUUAUAUACGAGAAUUCUUUGUGCUACCCUUGCCAUUGUUCUGUACAUCUGAAAUUGUUAAAAUAAAGGUUACAGAAAAAAGUAUCCACCAAUUCCUAUGACUGGAUUUCUUUUAACAUAAAGAGGCACCGCAUUUGUCGAGUGCUUUUUCCACAUCUAUGAAACUUACAUGAUUUCUCUCUAUGCAUUAAUGGAUUCUAAUGUUAACCAUCUUUGCAUUCCUUGAAUAAACCCCUAAUUGUCACGA